Molecule: unclassified non-coding RNA, 153 nt
Filed under: Edwardsiella tarda
Lineage: Bacteria; Pseudomonadati; Pseudomonadota; Gammaproteobacteria; Enterobacterales; Hafniaceae
Description: partial short 16S-23S intergenic spacer
Rfam family: Salmonella enterica Typhi npcRNA 44 (bases 40-146)
Source: RNAcentral
UGCAAAACGGACUUACGAGUCAUGUUUGCAAUAUUUGCUCUUUAACAAUCUGGAACAAGCUGAAAAUUCGAAAACAAUCGAAUUGCUUUUAAUAAGUGAUUCGAGAGUCUCUCAAAUGCUUACAGCACGAAGUGAAACACCUUCGGGUUGUGA